AUAUACUCUAGGGACUACUUAUUAAGUUAUUAUAUAUUGACAUAGUUUAUGUACUAAAUUGAAGUCAAUGUGAUAGUUUAAUUACUAAAUUGAUGAUUUCAUGAUACUAAAUGAGACUAAAACGGAACAAAAAAUAAGAUAUAAGCGAAUUGAGCUAUAGAUAUCUAAGCAAUUAUUCUUCAGCACAUGUUGCAUAAUGUCAACGCAGUAUCCUUAAACUGAUAAAAAGGACUUGUACAGUAUUAAUUAUAAGUUAUUUGAAAUUUAUAACAAAGUAAUAUGAAUGAUCAAUAACAAUAAGCUAGUAAUUAAAAUCAAUAUAAGAUUGGAUAAUCUACUGGAAUGCAAUAUAAGAUUGGAUGAUCUAGUGGAAUAAAUCAAUCAUUUCAAUGAAUACAUUUAUGAUUGAAAUUGAGAGUGGAUGUGUAGGUAACCCUAACCUGCUUCGCUGAAGUGAUACACAAAUUAUGCAUCGAGAGAUACAUGAAGGAUGAUAUCUUCAACUUAGAAGUAAGUAAAUCGGUGACUGCAUUGGAUAAAUUUCAAAGAUCGUGAAAAAAUCAAUGAACGAAAGAAAAGCGAUGGAACAAGAGUGAAAAUGUUGCGGUAACGUAACUUCCAAAAGGUACUUUUUAUGCUGGCCGUUGGAAAUUGUACUUUCAUUUCUUCUCCCACACUCCUCCUCAAUUGUUACAAAAAUGAAGCAACAUUUUGAUGUCUAGAAGGCAUGAAAUCAACAUUUCUUCCCCAACCAUAUUUCGGGAGAGGAGCGUUUGCCACAGCUCUCUACGUCUGGAACCGUGUGUUGCACUCUGCCUACCAAUCUUUCUCUCCCAAAAUUGUCAGCCAUUCCUAAAAACAACAAGGAAUUCAACAUUAACUUCAUUCAUGCAUUUUUUCAAACACUUGGUGCACAUAUACAACAAUGAAAUUCCUAAACACUAAUUCAAUUACACACUUCACAAAUUCAACCCAACAACUAUCACAUUACACAAACAAUGCAACAAUAACUUUGUGUUUGAGUUCUGUGCUUUAUGAUGUUUUUGUAAUUUUUAAGUUAGAUCUACAUAAUUUUAAGUGUCAGAUAUGCUAAUUUUUUCUCUUCAUCUUCAUGAAUUCUAGAAUUUUUUAUUUAAUUUUUCGGAUUUGUGAAUUUUGUUGAACUUUUGAGUCUUGGCAACCCGUUUCCACUGACCCGACCAACCCGAAAAAAAACUGAAAACCAAUCAAACCAAAUAAAUAAAUUGUCGAGAUUGGGCCAUAAUCCACCACCCACGGUUUGGACUAGAUUGAGGGUUUGGUCCUGAACCAAAAUUGACCCGGUCCCCAUAAAAUGAAGAGACUCCCCGUUGAUACAAGAUACUUCAAGUGGAGAGACACUAGUGACAUGUUUACUAUAAAAAAAAUUGCACAUUGGCUGAGAGAUGUAACGCCACUUGCUCUAAAGAGCCAAGUCGAAUAAAUUCAAAAUUUCACUCCAAGAGCCAAAUUGAUCCACCACAUAUUAAAAAUUCAAUCAACGCCUUUAUGUUUCGCCUUGAGUCACCAAAAUGACAAUAUUAUAGUACAUUUUACCCUAAUUAUUUUAUAGGAAAAAGGACACAAUGUCACCGUUGAACAAAAAAGAAAAAAGGACACUUCAUCAUAGGUCAGUGUCAAAAAAUUAUCAGAAACUUUAGUAACGAGACGGUUCCUCAACAGAAAUUAAUCAUCGAUAACAACGGUGGAAACUUUGUAUCUAUAACUAUAUCAUAAUAACCCAAAAAAUAAACAAUUGAGUCACACAUAAUGCCAUUUUCCACAAUUAUUAUAAAAAAAAUACAAAUACUCACAAUAGAAAAACAAAUUAAAAUAUGAUAAUAUAUACACACACCAAAACUCAAUAGAAAAAUUUGUGAUUCAAUUCUUAUGCCACAAUAUAUUACUCAAAUUCUAAAAGGCCUGUUAUAUGCCCACUACUUAAUUUGUGAUUCAAUUCAAGACAAUGAAACUGAAGGCAAUGCAGCUUCCAUUAAUAACGGUUGCUGCAUUAUCCAUGUUGGUAAAAGCAGUUGCAUCUGAUGAACCCCAACAAGUCCUACCAGGCUGCAAUUACACUUGUGGAGAUAUACAAAUUCCAUAUCCAUUUGGCAUAGGAAAUUCAACAACACUAGAUCAUACACCAUGUUACAUGGAUUCUAAAUAUGAGCUCACUUGUAAAAAGUCAAAAUUAAUCUAUGAUAAGACUAUCCAAGUCCUACACAUAAAUCCCCAAAGUCAAAUGGUAAUGAAAUUUUUCGUCUCACAUCUCUGUACUAGUGGCAGUAUUAGUAAUAGUACAAUUAAUUUCGAUGAAGCGAAUAAACCUCGUAUCAAAGUUUCUUCUUUCACAAUUUCAAGCACGGAAAACAAAUUCAUAACCGUUGGUUGCGACAGUAGUGGAUAUCUCAACAUGAAUUUCAAGGGUGAAACAUAUACAACAGGGUGCUCAACAAGCUGUCAUAAUUAUGAUCCUAAAAUGGUAAUUGGGAAUAACACUGGAAAAUGCACAGGUUUAGGGUGUUGCCAAGUUGAUAUUCCUCCGCUUAUGAGAUAUCUCACUAUACAAACAUUUAAAUUCCCAAGUUCUACAUCUCAGAAAGGUUGUAGCUAUUCCUUUAUUGCAAAACAAGGAUCCUAUAAUUUUUCUGUACAGCAUAUAAAUAAUCUAACAGAUCAAACUUUUCCCAUGGUUGUUAAUUGGGCCGUUACAAAUGAAUCAUGUCAAAUAGCACAAACUACAGGUAGCUAUGCCUGCAAGGAAAAUAGUGAAUGCGUUGAUAAUGAUCCAGAUUAUGACGGUUACAGAUGCAAGUGUUUGGAGGGUUUUGAAGGAAAUCCAUACCUUCCUGGAGGCUGCAGAGGUAACAGACAUAGCAUAAUUGUAUACUAUUGUUUUUGUACUUUAAUUAAUUGAUUGUGCUUCAUAUUUUCAAUGUUUUAUUGAGUUUGCUUCCUCUAAAUGUUGAGUAUGAAACACAUUUUAAAUGUGGUUGGUCACACUAAGAUUUUAGAUAGUGUGAUUCAUCAUAGUGAAUUAGGAUUCAUUGAAUUAGGAUUCAUCAUAAGACAGGGAUGAAUUGUAGGAUACUAACAACAACCAUGGUUUUAUUGGGUUUCAGACGUCGAUGAAUGUGUAAAAAAUUUACAUGAAUGCAAAAAUAGCACAAAUUGUAAAAACACAGCUGGGAAUUACACUUGUUUCUGUCCUGUGGGCCAAAUGGGAGAUGGGACAAAGGAAGGAGGGUGCCAACUACAUGAUGGAAAUGCAUUUGGAAUAGUACCUACUUUGUUCAGUAAGCAGAAAAACACAACUAAUUUUAUUCUAUUGACAUUUUCCUUUUCAAAUCUAAUGUGUUCAUCAAAUAUAUAUAUAUGUUACUGAUAUUAGUUUGGGGACAUUCCAAAAAUUGGGUGCAGGAGGAGUAGGAGCAGCAUUAGUACAUACUGCCCUUGGUAAGCAGCAAAACACGCCUAAUUUUGUUUUUCAAAUCUAAUGUGUUCAUUAAAUAUAUAUGUUACUGAUAUUAAUUUGGGGUACAUUCCAAAAAUUGGGUUCAAUAUAUUUUGGAUGCAGGAAUAGGAGCAACAUGUAUUGUUGUUUUUGUGGGGCAGAUGAUAAUCUCCAAAUUGAAAGAGAAAUUCUUUAGGCAGAAUCAAGGUUCUAUUUUGGAACAGAAACUACUUCAAAGAAAAGACUCGUCUAAAAUAGCUAAUAUUUUCAAGGAAAAUGAACUAAGGAAAGCCACUAACAACUAUGAUGAGAGCUUAAUCAUAGGUAGAGGAAGUUUUGGUACAGUUUUCAAAGGGGUACUAGAAGAUAACAGAAUUGUUGCUAUCAAAAAGUCCAAAACAAUAGAUCAAAGCCAAAUUGAUCAAUUCAUUAAUGAGGUGGAUGUUGUGUCCCAAAUAAAUCACAGGAAUGUGGUUAAACUCUUGGGGUGUUGUCUAGAAACAGAAGUUCCUUUGUUGGUUUAUGAAUUUGUUAGCAACGGUACUCUUUCUGAUUUUAUACACAAAAAUAAAGCGAAUAAUCCAACUUGGGAAAUUCGUCUUAAGAUAGCAACAGAGGUAGCUGGAGCUUUGUCAUAUCUACAUUCAGCUGCUUCGAUGCCCAUUAUCCACAGAGAUGUCAAGAGUGCUAACAUUCUCUUAGAUGGAACCAACACUGCCAAAGUAUCUGAUUUUGGAGCUUCAAAAUUAGUACCACUUGACCAAUCUGAAAUAUCCACAAAGGUGCAAGGAACUAUUGGCUACUUAGAUCCAGAAUAUAUGCAAACAAGCCAAUUGACUGAAAAAAGUGAUGUAUAUAGCUUUGGGGUAGUUGUUGUGGAGCUUCUAACAGGGGAGAGACCUUUUAGUAUUGCUAGGCCAGAAGAGACAAGAAAUCUUGCUAAGCAUUUUCUUUCCUGCUUGAAAAAGGAUAAUGUGUUUGAAAUUAUUCAAGAUGGUAUGUUGAAUGAAGAAAACAAACAAGAGAUCAAGGAGGUAGCUGUUCUUGCGGCAAAGUGUUUGAGACUAAAAGGGGAGAAAAGACCAAGCAUGAAGGAAGUGGCUAUGGAAUUGGAGGGAAUGAGGUUAAUGGAGAAGCACUCUUCGACCAACGAAGACCUAAAUGAAUCAUUAUCUAACAUUUAUGAACUUGGUGAGAGCAGCAAGCAUGGAGAUAUUGGAGGAUAGAAGAUGAUUGGGAUGUGAAAAAAUGCAGUUCCAUUUCGUUGUUUUAGAAGUUUUUUCAUGCAUAUUUUAUUUUAUAUGAUAAUCCAAAUCAUUUUGUAAUUGUAAUGUAAUUUGUUUAUAUAACUAAUGUAUUGUGUGCAUGGCUAUCCUGUUUUUUAAUUUUGUGGUUUUUAGUGUGGUGUGUAUUCCUUAUUUCUUGUUUUCAUAGGUUUUGUUGGACCUGUGUACUCCUUAUCUCUUUGGCCCUAGAAUAAUAUCCUGUUGUUUUGGAUAGUAGUUUUUUAGUGGCUUUGAGUGUUUGUAAUCCUUCUAGCAUUCCUUUUAACUUCUUCUCUGGGGCUUCGCCUCCUAGCUGUUAACUAAGAUUUAUAUAUUAUGAUGUAAAGGUAGAGAUGGAAGUGUUCUAUUGUAAAGAAUAGUUGUUUUCAAGUACAUCAAUUUUAAGGACCUUUUAGACCGAUAUAAUUAACAGGUUUUCGGUCGAUUGAACCCUAGACGGACCUCUUGCAUAUAACUCCUUCGGUAUCCCAACCCAAACUAUUGGACUACUCUUUUGGGGUAAAGUUUCUAGUCCAAUUGCUAAAUUUGGUUAGUUUGGUUUUGAUUGUACAAAUUGAGAAGAGAUUUGAAUUCACAGAUUGUGAUCUCGUAUUUCACAUGAGUAAAAAUAGGUGUUAUGAUCUCAUAUUUCACGAGUUGUUUCCUAAAAAAAAAAAUGUCGUGAGAGAUCCAAAUAUUUCACAAUAUCAGCAAAGCAAAGAUACUCACUUCAGCCACUAAGGCUGUUAGGAUUUUCGAAGCAUUGUUUUGAAAUCACCUUGGUAAUCAAGUCAUGGUGAUAGAAUAAUCAAGGAAGAAAAAGCAAAAUAAAUAACAUGUAAUUUAGCAAAGAAGAAAUGUUCUUAUAAGAAUACCACUCUUUAAAUUCUAUGGCCAAAGAAUGAUCAUACAAUAAUAAUUACCUUAGAAGAAUGAUAAUUAUGAUGCAUCAUUGAAAUACUUCCUGUCAUAAAUCCUUCAAAAAGCUUGAACAUGGGAUUCCAGUCAUUUAUGAUAAAUAUCGUUGACUAACCGGACUAAGAGUCAUGUAGUAAAGAAGUCCAAUCCCAAUUGGAUCUGGAUUACCUGCAGUAACGCGGUAAAAGAUCACAAUCACUGAUUUUAAAUCGGACGGUACAGAUCACACAUCAGUAAAGUUAUGUAAAAGUGAUCUCAGACGGUCCCGAUAUGUUACAGCGUCCUGCUGUAUUAGUGGGAAACCCAAAUCCCAAUCAUGAAAUAUUUUUGCCUAAAUUGCACAUUUGACCCCUUAAUUUAUUUUGUGGUUUCACUUUGGUCCAUAACUAUGUUUUGUUCCCUUUUUUUUCCAUUUCUUCAAUUAAAAUUGAAUAAACCAUCAAUUUAGUCCAUAAAUUGUCACUCUCUCUCUCUCCAAUUUAGUCCUUAAACUAUUUAAAUAUAAUAAAUCGUCCAUAAACUAUAUGAAAUUUGUCAAUUUAGUCCCCAAAGUAUAUUAAAAAAGCGGUCAACUCAGUCCCUCACAUCACAUCUUCAUAGAAAAGACUAAAUUGACGGAUUUUAUAUAGUUUACGGACUACUUAUCAUAUAUUUACAUAGUUUAUGGCCUAAAUUGAUGGUUUUAGGGGACCGAAACGGAACAAAAAAUAAGUUAUAAGCUAAAUAAGCUAUGAAUAUCUAGGAAAUUAUUCUUCAGCACAAGUUGCAGAGUGUCAAUGCAGCUCCCUAAACAGGUAUGAUAUGAAUGAUCAGUGUGAAAUGUGAAUAAGCUAGUAAUUAUAAAAGCAAUAUAAAACUGGAUGAUCUAGUAGAAUAAAUCAAUAAUUUGAAUGGAUGCAUUUAUGAUUGAAAUUGAGAGUGGAUGUGUAUGUAACCCUAACCUGCUUCAGUGGAGUGAUACGCAAAUUAUGCAACAUCGAGAGAUACAUGAAGGAUGAAAUCUUCAACUGAGAAGCAAAUCGGUGAUUGCUUUGGAUAAAUUUCAAAGAUCGUGAAAAAACCGAUUAAGAAAAGCGAUGAACAAGAGCGAAAAUGUGCGGGAACGUUCUUUUACAUAGGGGGGUCGAUAUCGAUGGAUGGAAUGAAUUUGGAUUUGGA
This 6813-nucleotide long non-coding RNA is filed under the name Trifolium pratense (red clover). RNAcentral describes it as "long non-coding RNA (TPRA_LNC014029)". The record is from RNAcentral. Lineage: Eukaryota; Viridiplantae; Streptophyta; Magnoliopsida; Fabales; Fabaceae.